AACUUGUUACAGUUUUUACAGCUUUUGAGCACAUUUGAUGGAGCUGACAGAACAUGCAAGAAUAUACAACCAAAAGUGCUCCAUAUAGUUACAAUCUGUAAAGACGACGGUUUCCUUCAUGAUGAGCUAACUACUCGUCUUCAUAUUAUAUAACGAGAAGCAAAAAAUUAACUUAUGAACUGAAAAUUUUGUUAGAUUUUCUUCAAAGGUUCAGCAACAGGCAACAAGGGUUACAGAUGCACACUGGUAUUCCCUGAACUUCAUUCUGAAGGAGACGGCUGCUUUUACAUCCUCAAAAGAUCCAUAAAUCCAAUGACCCAGAGAAAAUGAGUUCUUUCUUCACUUCAACCAAUUAGCGAGAAGGUUUUGCAAAUCUUUUGAUGUCUUCUGACGUCUUGUAAUAACAUCCUUAUGGAUCUCUGCAGCUCUGCCUGCCACUUGUAUAUUUUCCAUUGGGCACCUGCAUCAUUUCAGUACAGAAAUUAUAUCUUCAACUCCAAAUUUCAGAACAAAUAGAAGUAUGCAAGUCACAACACUUAAUUGACUUCUUUUUUCAUGGUGCGAAGAAUUAUCUCUAGAUAAAGCAAAGGAAAAAUAAGCAACAAUGGCCACAAUUCUGAAUUAACCUUCAUCCUCAAAAUAAGCAAUGCAAUCAAUGAGUAUAUCCACUUGAAAGUACCAGAAACUUGACUUUUUAAAACAUUUGGAUAUGCAAAUUGUUCAUCCAAAUGAAUCAUAAAACUAGAAAGAAGUCGGUAUGCGAAGACAAUUCUCACUUUUUAAAUCUGAUCCAACAGUUGGGGACUUACUAGGAAACUACAUCCAAGACCAACAGGCAAAGAACAUUUUACCAAGAUCUUCUGGUUGAAACGAACACGUGUACAUAAACAGCAGACCUGUCGGGGGGCUUCAGAAAAGAGUACUGUCAGGAUAAUAAACAAAUGAAAACAAACUCAUCGGAAAAGAUGACCGGGAA
RNAcentral lists this long non-coding RNA (976 nucleotides) under Panax ginseng (ginseng). RNAcentral describes it as "long non-coding RNA (PGIN_LNC002951)". The record is from RNAcentral. Lineage: Eukaryota; Viridiplantae; Streptophyta; Magnoliopsida; Apiales; Araliaceae.